GAUGAAGAACGUAGCGAAAUGCGAUAAGUAAUGUGAAUUGCAGAAUUCAGUGAAUCAUCGAAUCUUUGAACGCACAUUGCGCCCGCCAGUAUUCUGGCGGGCAUGCCUGUUCGAGUGUCAUUUCAACCCUCAGGACCCUUUGGACCUGGUGUUGGGGCUCGGCCGCUACCCCGCGGCCGUCCCCGAAAGAUAGUGGCGGUCUCGCUGUAGCGUCCUCUGCGUAGUAAUUACACCUCGCACUGGAACGCGGCGCGGCCACGCCGUUAAACACCCCACUUCUCAAGGUUGACCUCGGAUCAGGUAGGAAUACCCGCUGAACUUAAGCAUAUCAAUAAGCGGAGGA
RNAcentral lists this unclassified non-coding RNA (343 nucleotides) under soil metagenome. RNAcentral's name for it is "partial contains 5.8S ribosomal RNA, internal transcribed spacer 2, and large subunit ribosomal RNA". The stretch from base 1 to 120 matches the Rfam family "5.8S ribosomal RNA", at positions 35 to 154 of the family's 154-position model. The record is from RNAcentral.